AGUCCUGCCAACAGCUGUGAGUGAGCAUGGACGCAGAUCCUCUCCCAGUGGAGCAUUUGGAUGACCACGGCUCUGGCUAACACCUCACUUACAGCCUUGGGAGAGAUUCUGAGUCAGAGGCAUCCAGCUAAAUUGACCCACAGACACGUUCAAAUUCUGGAUGAGAAUUCGCUUCUGCAAAUUAGAAGCAAUUCAUCUAAGAUAAUGAACACAGAAGCGAAGCAGAAGCCAUUUUCCUACAUCCUUUCGACUGUUUUAACUGCAAACAAAGAUAAAGAAAUGCAAGGUGUUAGCAGUGCUUUUUGUGGCACUUUCCAAUUUUCUGGGUGUCAAGAGGCAAUUGUGACUACAGCAUUAGCAGUGUAACUCUGGCUUCCUGAUUACUGGAUUGCAG
This is a long non-coding RNA of Homo sapiens (human), 394 nucleotides long. Ensembl annotates it as PPP1R9A antisense RNA 1. Its record names the gene PPP1R9A-AS1. The record is from Ensembl. Lineage: Eukaryota; Metazoa; Chordata; Mammalia; Primates; Hominidae.